Non-coding RNA from Trichonephila clavipes, 69 nucleotides. The record is from the annotation of a GenBank genome assembly. NCBI's taxonomy places the organism in Eukaryota, Metazoa, Arthropoda, Arachnida, Araneae, Nephilidae.
GACAUAGCUCAGCGGUGUAGAGCAUUGGACUGCGGAUCGAGAGGUUCCCGGUUCAAACCUGGGUGUCCA